CCUCACCCGUGCAUUUAUUUUUAAAGAAUUAAAAAUGGCACCCACUUUUAUUUACUCGAUGUUGCAUCUUCCAACCCCAAACCCCGAAAAUGGUAAAUCAAUUCAUCUUCCAUUCUCAGUAUGUUAUUCUAAUCGCAGUAUCUCUUUUUGAAGCUACGGAUUGAAAUGUGUUUUGCUCAAAGGUUCAAUUCCUUUAGGUAUUCAAAUUUCUUUCUUCUUAAAUUUUUAAUUUAUAAGGGUUUUCUCCUAGAUCUGGUUGUUUAAUUAAGUUCUUGAUUUGUGCUUAAUUUGAAUAUGUUCUUUCUUUUAUGUUUUACAUGAAUUAUUCCCCUUGAAAAUUGAAAGUUAUCUCCAUUUAAAUUAGGGUUCACUUUUAAAUCUGGGUAAAUUUACGGUUGUAAGAAAUGGUAUAUCUGAUUAAAUGUGUGGAUUUCAUUAUAAGAAUUUUUUAUUCAGUCGAUUCGAUUGAAAUGGAAAUUGAGAAGUAAAUUCCUAAAGAGAAGUUGAAAAGCAGUAAGAAAUUAUGGGUUAAAGGUUUUGUGUUUCAAUUAGCAAAUCUAAAAUGAAUACUGUUUGGUUUAAUUAUCAUUUGUUUUUUUUUUCUGUAAAUUCUUAUUUUUUUUCUUUAAGUUAUGAAUUUCUAGAUUUUUUCUUAUUUGUCUUAAUUUAAAUUUUCUUUAAGCUCUAAAUUUAUGCUAUCUAACAAAUGUCUUGAUUUGAAUGCUUGAUAUAUAUUAUUGGGAUAAUUAAAAUUUGGAAUGAAUAUUGAUGGGUUAAAUUGUCAAUCAUGCUUCCUCAAUGCCGUUUUUAAUUUCAGAGUUCCACCGAUGACAUAACUAAUUAAAAUCCUCUUAUAAGGAUGUAGCAAACAUAUAUCUAGUGUGGUGAUGAUUUUCACUAUGCAGAGUAGAUUAUAUUGGAGGUGAAAGGAUGGUUGUAUGUCAGACCAUGGUCCUUGUGGCCUGGUGGGAAACUUUUCCCCUAUGGUUAUAGUGGCUUUGGGGAGUGCUAGACAGGUGGUGGUCAUGACUAGGUGGGAUUUGAGUAAAAGAAGAUAGAUUCAAUGGAUCAGGUAUGCAUUUUUUUACCUACAAUUUUUAUGCUUAACACAUAAAUCAAUCCAUAUACUAAGCUUAUAUAUGGUACUUAAGAGCAGAAUAUCCUUGUGUGCAUUUGAUCUCUAUAUACUAAAACAUUCUUAUUAUGGAGCAUAUUGGCACAUUUCUUAACAAUUUAUUUCAUUCUCCAUGGAUUCAAGAAAGUUCAAUUUAUUAGCUAAGUUCAUCCAUUUUUCUUGGAAUGUUUUAUAAGUUGUUAUAUUUUUUUUUUAUAGUUGCUCAAUGCAUUAGUUUUUUUGGAGAAGGGGUGCUAUGACGGUGCCAAGAACAAGGAGCCAGCAACUUUGUGAUUACAUUUCCUAGAUCUUAUCAUGGAGGUUUCAAUCUUGGCUUGAACUGUGCUGAGGCUGCUAAUUUUGCUCUUGCUGAUUGGUUACCUCAUGGAGGGUUUGGAUCAGAACUGUAUCAUAAGCCUACUGUACUUUCUCAUGAUGAGGUGCUUUGCGUGGCUGUUAAGAUUGGUUGUGAUGCCAAAGUAGCACCGUACAUGAAUAAGGAGUUACUGAGGGUCUUUACAGAAGAGAAGAAUGGGAGGUAGCAGCUUUGGAAAAAGGGCCUUGUCAAAACAACAUCUGUUAUGUCACCCCGAAGACAUCCUGAGUAUGUUGGCACUGAGUAGGAUCCCACUUUCAUAAUAUGCCAGCACUAUUUGUAUCUUUCAGCUGUUGUCUGUCGCUGUAGACCAUCCACUUUUGUGUGUUUAAAGCACUGGGAGCGCCUUUGUGAAUGUAAUCCAAGGAAAUGCCGCCUCCGAUAUCGCCACUCUCUUGCGGGAUUAAACAAAUUGUUAUUCAUAACAAAGAAUGUAAUAUCAUAACUAAUUUCUUAGAAACAUUGUUUUGCUAGCUAGUUUUGCUCUUGUAUGAAUAUUUGUAUACAAUAAAAUGAGUUUUUUUUUUUUUAAAAAAUUAUUUAAUUAUUUUGGAAUUUUUUGUAGCACAAUGAUAUUUAUAAGAUGUCUUCAA
Molecule: long non-coding RNA, 2083 nt
Organism: Chenopodium quinoa (quinoa)
Lineage: Eukaryota; Viridiplantae; Streptophyta; Magnoliopsida; Caryophyllales; Amaranthaceae
Exons: 6
Source: RefSeq, a predicted model, not a curated record